CAGGAAGUAGUUUAUUAAAAUAUUAAUUUUGGAGAUUAAAGAUAAGAAUGACUCUUUUUCCUGA
RNAcentral lists this transfer RNA (64 nucleotides) under Meloidae sp. MT-2010. RNAcentral's name for it is "tRNA-Pro". Lineage: Eukaryota; Metazoa; Arthropoda; Insecta; Coleoptera; Meloidae. The record is from RNAcentral.